UCGGGAAUUUUGGGCAAUGGGCGAAAGCCUGACCCAGCAACGCCGCGUGAGGGAUGAAGUAUUUCGGUAUGUAAACCUCGAAAGAAUGGGAAGAAUAAAUGACGGUACCAUUUAUAAGCUCCGGCUAACUACGUGCCAGCAGCCGCGGUAAUACGUAGGGAGCAAGCGUUGUUCGGAUUUACUGGGCGUAAAGGGCGCGUAGGCGGCGCGGUAAGUCACUUGUGAAAUCUCUGAGCUUAACUCAGUACGGCCAAGUGAUACUGCUGUGCUAGAGUGCAGAAGAGGCAACCGGAAUUCUUGGUGUAGCGGUGAAAUGCGUAGAUAUCAAGAGGAACACCUGAGGCGAAGGCGGGUUGCUGGGCCGACACUGACGCUGAUGCGCGAAAGCCAGGGGAGCAAACG
RNAcentral lists this ribosomal RNA (402 nucleotides) under uncultured bacterium. Its description in RNAcentral is "bacterial SSU rRNA". It matches the Rfam family "Bacterial small subunit ribosomal RNA", at positions 355 to 774 of the family's 1533-position model. The record is from RNAcentral.